GUGGCGAACGGGUGAGUAACACGUGGGCAAUCUGCCCUGCACUCUGGGACAAGCCCUGGAAACGGGGUCUAAUACCGGAUAUGAUCACCGGCCGCAUGGUCUGGUGGUGGAAAGCUCCGGCGGUGCAGGAUGAGCCCGCGGCCUAUCAGCUUGUUGGUGGGGUGAUGGCCUACCAAGGCGACGACGGGUAGCCGGCCUGAGAGGGCGACCGGCCACACUGGGACUGAGACACGGCCCAGACUCCUACGGGAGGCAGCAGUGGGGAAUAUUGCACAAUGGGCGAAAGCCUGAUGCAGCGACGCCGCGUGAGGGAUGACGGCCUUCGGGUUGUAAACCUCUUUCAGCAGGGAAGAAGCGUGAGUGACGGUACCUGCAGAAGAAGCACCGGCUAACUACGUGCCAGCAGCCGCGGUAAUACGUAGGGUGCGAGCGUUGUCCGGAAUUAUUGGGCGUAAAGAGCUCGUAGGCGGCUUGUCGCGUCGGAUGUGAAAGCCCGGGGCUUAACCCCGGGUCUGCAUUCGAUACGGGCAGGCUAGAGUUCGGUAGGGGAGAUCGGAAUUCCUGGUGUAGCGGUGAAAU
This 579-nucleotide ribosomal RNA is filed under the name Streptomyces sp. I14A-01133. RNAcentral describes it as "bacterial SSU rRNA". It matches the Rfam family "Bacterial small subunit ribosomal RNA", at positions 95 to 687 of the family's 1533-position model. The record is from RNAcentral. Lineage: Bacteria; Bacillati; Actinomycetota; Actinomycetes; Kitasatosporales; Streptomycetaceae.